This 32-nucleotide transfer RNA is filed under the name Nyssa ogeche (ogeechee lime). Its description in RNAcentral is "partial tRNA-Phe". Lineage: Eukaryota; Viridiplantae; Streptophyta; Magnoliopsida; Cornales; Nyssaceae. The record is from RNAcentral.
AUGCAUCGGGAAUGGUCGGGAUAGCUCAGCUG